CUCCGGUUGAUCCUGCCGGACCCGACUGCUAUCAGAGUGGGACUAAGCCAUGCGAGUCGACGUAGCAAUGCGUGGCGAACGGCUCAGUAACACGUAGUCAACAUGCCCAGGGGACGUGGAUAACCUCGGGAAACUGAGAAUAAACCACGAUAGGUCACGAUUUCUGGAAUGGAUCAUGGCCUAAAUCUACAUGGCCCCUGGAUUGGACUGCGGCCGAUCAGGCUGUUGGUGAGGUAAUGGCCCACCAAACCUAUAACCGGUACGGGCUCUGAGAGGAGAAGCCCGGAGAUGGGCACUGAGACAAGGGCCCAGGCCCUAUGGGGCGCAGCAGGCGCGAAACCUCUGCAAUAGGCGAAAGCCUGACAGGGUUACUCUGAGUGAUUUCCGCUAAGGGGAUCUUUUGGCACCUCUAAAAAUGGUGCAGAAUAAGGGGUGGGCAAGUCUGGUGUCAGCCGCCGCGGUAAUACCAGCACCCCGAGUGGUCGGGACGAUUAUUGGGCCUAAAGCAUCCGUAGCCGGUUCUGCAAGUCUUCCGUUAAAUCCAGCCGCUCAACGGAUGGGCCGCGGAGGAUACUACAGGACUAGGAGGCGGGAGAGGCAAGCGGUACUCAGUGGGUAGGGGUAAAAUCCUUUGAUCCAUUGAAGACCACCAGUGGCGAAGGCGGCUUGCCAGAACGCGCUCGACGGUGAGGGAUGAAAGCUGGGGGAGCAAACCGGAUUAGAUACCCGGGUAGUCCCAGCUGUAAACGAUGCAGACUCGGUGAUGGGCUAGCCUUGUGCCAGCCCAGUGCCGCAGGGAAGCCGUUAAGUCUGCCGCCUGGGGAGUACGGUCGCAAGACUGAAACUUAAAGGAAUUGGCGGGGGGAGCA
RNAcentral lists this ribosomal RNA (869 nucleotides) under uncultured archaeon. Its description in RNAcentral is "bacterial SSU rRNA". It matches the Rfam family "Archaeal small subunit ribosomal RNA", at positions 1 to 878 of the family's 1478-position model. The record is from RNAcentral.